This 289-nucleotide long non-coding RNA is filed under the name Elaeis guineensis (African oil palm). RNAcentral describes it as "long non-coding RNA (EGUI_LNC063181)". Lineage: Eukaryota; Viridiplantae; Streptophyta; Magnoliopsida; Arecales; Arecaceae. The record is from RNAcentral.
UCUCACCUAACAGUUAUUGGUAACAUGCACACCGAUGUGUGGUUAACUCUUUGCCCAUAUGCUUCACUAAGCAUGUUGCAGCUACUUGGUCUCUAAGUCAUGUGAGCUCAUCUAACAGUUAUUGCUCACACUUCUUAGUUAAGCCCGACCCACCAUUCAAAAGCAGGUGCAAGAUCAUUAUUGGGUCCCUCACCUAACAGUUAUUGGAUCCAACCCCAUCCUUACCCUGGAGCAACUCUUUGCUAAUAGAGUAGUUGCAUGUUUUCAAUGUAACUAAACCACUGUAACC